CCGCGUGCACAUGCGACUGC
RNAcentral lists this unclassified non-coding RNA (20 nucleotides) under Chlamydomonas reinhardtii. RNAcentral describes it as "small RNA Cre_1102". Lineage: Eukaryota; Viridiplantae; Chlorophyta; Chlorophyceae; Chlamydomonadales; Chlamydomonadaceae. The record is from RNAcentral.